AGACACCCUUCUGGGGCAAGACUUGCUUCAGUGGGGCUUUGGUGUUCACUGAGUCUGCCCCUUGAGUGUGUCCCU
This 75-nucleotide microRNA precursor is filed under the name Myotis lucifugus (little brown bat). RNAcentral describes it as "mir-9229 microRNA precursor family". It matches the Rfam family "mir-9229 microRNA precursor family". The record is from Rfam by way of RNAcentral. Lineage: Eukaryota; Metazoa; Chordata; Mammalia; Chiroptera; Vespertilionidae.